RNAcentral lists this ribosomal RNA (253 nucleotides) under uncultured bacterium. Its description in RNAcentral is "partial 16S ribosomal RNA". It matches the Rfam family "Bacterial small subunit ribosomal RNA", at positions 524 to 776 of the family's 1533-position model. The record is from RNAcentral.
UACGUAGGUGGCAAGCAUUAUCCGGAUUUACUGGGUGUAAAGGGCGUGUAGGCGGGACUGCAAGUCAGAUGUGAAAAUUAUGGGCUCAACCCAUAACCUGCAUUUGAAACUGUAGUUCUUGAGUGAUGGAGAGGCAGGCGGAAUUCCGUGUGUAGCGGUGAAAUGCGUAGAUAUACGGAGGAACACCAGUGGCGAAGGCGGCCUGCUGGACAUUAACUGACGCUGAGGCGCGAAAGCGUGGGGAGCAAACAGG